Molecule: ribosomal RNA, 2921 nt
Filed under: Candidatus Syntropharchaeum sp. GoM_oil
Lineage: Archaea; Methanobacteriati; Halobacteriota; Candidatus Syntropharchaeia; Candidatus Syntropharchaeales
Description: Candidatus Syntrophoarchaeum sp. GoM_oil 23S ribosomal RNA
Rfam family: Archaeal large subunit ribosomal RNA
Source: RNAcentral
AUUAUACCAUCUGGUGGAUGGCUCGGCUCAAGCGCUGAUGAAGGACGUGCCAAGCUGCGAUAAGCCCCGGUGAGGUGCAUGGAACCUUAGACCCGGGGAUCUCCGAAUAGGACAUCCUGAUGUGCAAACAUCGAUCCGUAAGGAUUGGGAACGCCCUGGAUUGAAACAUCUUAGUAAGGGCAGGAAGAGAAACCAAUUGGGAUACCGUAAGUAACGGCGAGUGAAAGCGGCAGAGUCCAAACCGAAUCCUGUUGUGUGAGCAGCAGGAGAUGUGGGGUUGUAAGAUAUGUCGUAUGCAUUCCUCUCUGAUGAAGUUGAAGUCCCCUGGAAAGGGGCGCCACAGAGUGUGAUAGCCACGUAAAUGUAGAUCAGUGGAAUGUGAUAUAUUCUUGAGUACCGUGGGUUGGAAUUCCCGCGGGAAGCUGGGAGACACCAACUUCCAAGACUAAAUACAGCUUGAGACCGAUAGCGUAAUAGUAGGGUGACCAAAAGCUGAAAAGUACCCCAAGAAGGGAGGUGCAAAGUGUCUGAAAUCAGAUGGUGAUGGUGCGAUAUGGCUUCAAAGGAGCGAACUGAUCCGAAGGAAGAAACCGCGAGGUUUUUGUACGAGGAUUGGCGACCAGAGUCAUAUCAUACGUUUUGAAGAACGGGCCAGGGAGUGUAUUCGAGUGGCGAGGCUAAGACCUUGAAGGUCGAAGCCGAAGGGAAACCAACAGGCACGCAAACCCUUUGGGUUGAGGUGCGACGUAUACAAGUGCGUGGAGUCAUUAGGAUACGACCCGAAACCGGGCGAUCUAGGCGUGGGCAGGUUGAAGCGUGGCGAAAGCUGCGUGGAGGACCUAAGCGGUACUGAUGUGCAAAUCGUUCGUGUGACCUGCGUCUAGGGGUGAAAGUUCAAUCGAGCCCGGAGAUAGCUGGUUCCUUCCGAAACAUGCUAAAGCAUGACCCGAUUUGAGAUAGUUGGCGAGGUAGAGCACUGAUUGGGGAAUCCGGGGGGGAAACUCCUCGCUCUCUUGUCAAACUCCGAAUUCGCCAUCGUCUGAGAAGAUCGGAAGUCCGGGCUGGGGGGUAAGCUUCCAGUCCGUGAGGGAGACAACCCAGACCAGGGUUAAGGUCCUUAAGUGUCGGCUAAGUGUUAAUUAAAGGGUGUCCUAACCCCUAAACAGCUGGGAGGUGAGCUUAGAAGCAGCUAACCUCUAAGGAGUGCGUAACAGCUCACCAGCCGAGGUUUAGGGCCCCGAAAAUGGACGGGGCUCAAGCCGACCACCGAUACCCUGGGAUACCGCAAGGUAAUUCUGUAGGAAGGCGCUCUGCAUGGGUAGAAGCUGGGGCGUAAGUUCCAGUGGACCGUGUAGAGAUGAGAAUCCUGGCAAUAGUAGCAGCAUAGUCGGGUGAGAAUCCCGAUCGCCGAAAGGGCUAGGUUUCCUCGGCAAUGUUCGUCAGCCGAGGGUUAGUCGAUCCUAAGGUGUACCCUAAUCAGAGUACAUCAAAAAGGGAAACAGGUUAAUAUUCCUGUACCAUCCAACAUUAAACUGACGCUUCCGGGAAGGUUAAGCGGCGUUAUCGCGCCGUUCAAGCAGAAUGGGUCUGUGGAGUGCCGUAAUGGCGAGAAGCGGAGCAAGCUGUGAUGACGUAAGUUGACUGAUCCCAGGAGCCCGUGAAAAGGGAGUUGGAUGAUCGUACCGAGAUCCGACACAGGUGUCCCUAGCUGAAUAGGCUAAGGCGUGAUGGAGUAAUCUGGCUAAGGGAAAUCGGCAAAUUAGCUCCGUAACUUCGGGAGAAGGAGUGUCUGCUCUUGUGAGAGAGCAGAUCGCAGUGACCAGGGAGCUCUAACUGUUUAAUAAAAACAUAGGCGAUCGCAAACCCGUAAGGGCUAGUACGAUCGCUGAAUCCUGCCCAGUGCAGGUACCUCAAUCCCCGGUUCAACGGGAAGAAGGGCCUGUCAACGGCGGGGGUAACUAUGACCCUCUUAAGGUAGCGUAGUACCUUGCCGCUUAAUUGGCGGCUUGCAUGAAUGGAACAAUGAGAGCUCUACUGUCCCUAGCCAGAACCCGGUGAACUUUACAUUCCAGUGCAGAGUCUGGAGACCCCUAAUGGGAAGUGAAGACCCCGUGGAGCUUUACUGCAGCCUGUCGUUGGGUUGUGGUGUUAGAUGUGAAGGAUAGGUAGUAGGCAUCGAAGCGCAGGCGCCAGCUUGCGUGGAGCCGUCCUUGGGAUACUACCCCUCUAAUACUAUAACCCUCACUCGUUAAAGAGGACACCGAUUGGUGGGCAGUUUGGGUGGGGCGCCACGCCCUCGAAAAGGUAUCAAGGGCGCCCAAAGGUUGGCUCAAGUGGGUCAGAAAUCCACUGAAGAGUGCAAGAGCAAAAGCCAGCCUGAUGUGAUCCUGCACAACAAGGGAUCGCAAGCCGAAAGGCGGGUCUAGCGAACCUUUGUAUCCACUUGGUGUGGGACAAAGACGUCAGAAAAGCUACCCCGGGGAUAACAGUGUCGUCACCGGCAAGAGCACAUAUCGACCCGGUGGCUUGCUACCUCGAUGUCGGUUCUUUCCAUCCUGGCUGUGCAGCAGCAGCCAAGGGUGAGGUUGUUCGCCUAUUAAAGGAGAUCGUGAGCUGGGUUUAGACCGUCGUGAGACAGGUCGGUUACUAUCUGUUAGGGGUGUUUUGAGGUCUGAAGGUAAGUUGCUUUUAGUACGAGAGGAACAGAGCAACGGCGCCUCUGGUCGAUCGGUUGUCCGACAGGGCAUUGCCGAGCAGCUACGCGCUAAGGGAUAAGGGCUGAAAGCAUCUAAGCCCGAAACCCACCCUGAAAAUAGACCUCUUUAAGGGCAUGGAUAAAAGAUCCGUUUGAUAGAGUCGGGGUGUACGCACCAAGGCAACGAGGUGUUCAGCCUGCGACCACUAAUGUCCGUACCAGUUUG